RNAcentral lists this transfer RNA (75 nucleotides) under Candidatus Moraniibacteriota bacterium. RNAcentral's name for it is "Candidatus Moranbacteria bacterium (groundwater metagenome) tRNA-Met". It matches the Rfam family "tRNA". From Rfam's summary of the family: Transfer RNA (tRNA) molecules are approximately 80 nucleotides in length. Their secondary structure includes four short double-helical elements and three loops (D, anti-codon, and T loops). Further hydrogen bonds mediate the characteristic L-shaped molecular structure. tRNAs have two regions of fundamental functional importance: the anti-codon, which is responsible for specific mRNA codon recognition, and the 3' end, to which the tRNAs corresponding amino acid is attached (by aminoacyl-tRNA synthetases). tRNAs cope with the degeneracy of the genetic code in two manners: having more than one tRNA (with a specific anti-codon) for a particular amino acid; and 'wobble' base-pairing, i.e. permitting non-standard base-pairing at the 3rd anti-codon position. Lineage: Bacteria; Candidatus Moraniibacteriota. The record is from RNAcentral.
GGGACCAUAGCUCAGUGGUAGAGCGGACGACUCAUAAUCGUUUGGUCGCUGGUUCGAAUCCAGCUGGUCCCACAA